RNAcentral lists this ribosomal RNA (900 nucleotides) under Triticum aestivum (bread wheat). RNAcentral's name for it is "partial small subunit ribosomal RNA". Lineage: Eukaryota; Viridiplantae; Streptophyta; Magnoliopsida; Poales; Poaceae. The record is from RNAcentral.
AUGGCUGCCGUCGUUCUCUACGUACCCUGGCAGGCCCGCGUCGUCUUCCUUCCUGGCGUCCGGUUCUCGCAGCGACGUGUGGCGCCGGCCGGCCUCCACCGGUCGCGCGUUAUCGCGUCGCUGCAUGCGGACGAUUCAGUCGAUGCCAUGCAAAUAACCCAUGUGAAUUUGCAUGACCGGACGUACAAAGGCUCGGGAACGAUGGGAGGAGGAGGGAGAGCAGGAGAACCAUACAUUGAUACAUGUUAUAAAAAGUAUUUUGACCAGAGACAAUCUUUUAAAAAGGGGUGGAAAGAUAAAGGACCCAGGGGAAAAACUGUUGAUGCUGGGGGCAAGGCUAAUAGAGCAGGUAGCAAGUGCUACACUCCCACUCUCGUCUCGCACCGCGCCGCCGGCGGAAGCGAUGGCGGAGCUUCGGCAAUCGACGGCGCAUCCAACUCCCCAGCAAAGCGCGACUCCGACGCGUCCGCCGCAUCCUCCCCAUUCGCUUCCACCUCCGCCGCCCGCGGCCGCGACGACAACGACGACGGCAAGGGCGCCCACCGCUCCUCACCUCUCCUCCCGCACCACCAUCACCACAAGCAGCUCCUUCCGUCUCCCCUCCGCUCCCUCCUCGCCCUCGAGGACCCCAGGCCCCCCACCGCCUCCCUCUCCUACCGGAUCUUGCUCGCCGUCCUCGCGCUCCUCCUGCUCGCGGCCCUCUUCUCCGCGCCCUCCCUCUGGUCCCGCUUCAACGUGCCCUUCUUGUGCCAGAAGGAGGGGAUCACGCUGCAUUGCCCUCAGAUGAAGGAGCCUCUCUCACUGUGGGAGAACCCACGUGUUGUCACCGCGUCCUGGAAGCCCUGCGCUGAGCGUCCAAGCGAUGAGCCCUCUGGCAAGUCCAGCAUUGACAUUACUUGA